UACAGAGGGUGCAAGCGUUAAUCGGAAUUACUGGGCGUAAAGCGUGCGCAGGCGGUUUUUGUAAGUCUGUCGUGAAAUCCCCCGGGCUCAACCUGGGAAUUGCGAUGGAGACUGCAAGGCUAGAAUCUGGCAGAGGGGGGGUAGAAUUCCACGUGUAGCAGUGAAAAUGCGUAGAGAUGUGGAGGAACACCAGUGGCGAAGGCGGCUUUUCUGGUCU
This 217-nucleotide ribosomal RNA is filed under the name uncultured bacterium. RNAcentral's name for it is "partial 16S ribosomal RNA". It matches the Rfam family "Bacterial small subunit ribosomal RNA", at positions 524 to 735 of the family's 1533-position model. The record is from RNAcentral.